This 263-nucleotide ribosomal RNA is filed under the name uncultured prokaryote. RNAcentral describes it as "partial 16S ribosomal RNA". It matches the Rfam family "Bacterial small subunit ribosomal RNA", at positions 524 to 786 of the family's 1533-position model. The record is from RNAcentral.
UACGUAGGUGGCGAGCGUUAUCCGGAAUUAUUGGGCGUAAAGAGCGCGCAGGUGGUUGAUUAAGUCUGAUGUGAAAGCCCACGGCUUAACCGUGGAGGGUCAUUGGAAACUGGUCGACUUGAGUGCAGAAGAGGGAAGUGGAAUUCCAUGUGUAGCGGUGAAAUGCGUAGAGAUAUGGAGGAACACCAGUGGCGAAGGCGGCUUCCUGGUCUGUAACUGACACUGAGGCGCGAAAGCGUGGGGAGCAAACAGGAUUAGAUACU